GCAAACUCUCACCCGUCUGCAGGCUCCUAGGCUUGGCACCCAGGACUGCAGCUCCUUCCCGAGUUCAAGUUCUGAGUGCCUUCAAGGGCAGCGACAAUCCCCUGGGAGGUGGAGUUAAGUGAACCCCAAGAGGAGUCGUCCCCCCCCCCCCAACCCCGGUUGCUCUGGCCAUCAGUAAGUACCGUUAACUUUCUCAGAGAAUUAGUUUGGGGACACUAGAGUGGAAGGAAGUGGGAAACCGUCUUCAAGUCGCUGGCGCUAAAGCUUACGCUUAGUUGGGGCGGCUGGAAAGUGUGGGGGAAGGGCCGACGGCCCCGGGAAGCCCCGGAGUCCCGGCUGCGCGCGGCGGGUCUGGGAGGCGGUGGGGGAGGGGCGGCGGCAGGUGCGCGCGCCGCGGGCACUCACGAAGCCGUAGCCGCGGGACUUGCCGGUCUGGCGGUCGGUGAUGACCACGGCCUCCUCGAUGUCUCCAAAGCCCUCGAAGUACUUUCUGAGCGAUGCGUCGGUGGUGUGGUAGGGCAGGCCGCCCACGAAGAUCUUGGUGAACGUGGUGUCCUUCUGUGAGCCGUGCAUGGCGCUGGGGGCGGCGGACGGC
This 595-nucleotide long non-coding RNA is filed under the name Rattus norvegicus (Norway rat). RNAcentral describes it as "long non-coding RNA NONRATT020023". The record is from RNAcentral. Lineage: Eukaryota; Metazoa; Chordata; Mammalia; Rodentia; Muridae.